Molecule: ribosomal RNA, 490 nt
Filed under: uncultured bacterium
Lineage: Bacteria
Description: partial 16S ribosomal RNA
Rfam family: Bacterial small subunit ribosomal RNA
Source: RNAcentral
AUUGAACGCUGGCGGCAGGCCUAACACAUGCAAGUCGAACGGUAACAGGAAGCAGCUUGCUGCUUUGCUGACGAGUGGCGGACGGGUGAGUAAUGUCUGGGAAACUGCCUGAUGGAGGGGGAUAACUACUGGAAACGGUAGCUAAUACCGCAUAACGUCGCAAGACCAAAGAGGGGGACCUUAGGGCCUCUUGCCAUCGGAUGUGCCCAGAUGGGAUUAGCUAGUAGGUGGGGUAACGGCUCACCUAGGCGACGAUCCCUAGCUGGUCUGAGAGGCUGACGAGCCAGACGGGAACUGAGAAACGGUCCAGACUCCUACGGGAGGCAGCAGUGGGGAAUAUUGCACAAUGGGCGCAAGCCUGAUGCAGCCAUGCCGCGGGUAUGAAGAAGGCCUUCGGGUUGUAAAGUACUUUCAGCGGGGAGGAAGGGAGUAAAGUUAAUACCUUUGCUCAUUGACGUUACCCGCAGAAGAAGCACCGGCUAACUCCGUG